This 473-nucleotide ribosomal RNA is filed under the name Neisseria flava. Its description in RNAcentral is "bacterial SSU rRNA". It matches the Rfam family "Bacterial small subunit ribosomal RNA", at positions 30 to 490 of the family's 1533-position model. Lineage: Bacteria; Pseudomonadati; Pseudomonadota; Betaproteobacteria; Neisseriales; Neisseriaceae. The record is from RNAcentral.
AUUGAACGCUGGCGGCAUGCUUUACACAUGCAAGUCGGACGGCAGCACAGAGAAGCUUGCUUCUUGGGUGGCGAGUGGCGAACGGGUGAGUAACAUAUCGGAACGUACCGAGCAGUGGGGGAUAACUAAUCGAAAGAUUAGCUAAUACCGCAUAUUUUCUGAGGAAGAAAGCAGGGGACCAUUUGGCCUUGCGCUGUUUGAGCGGCCGAUAUCUGAUUAGCUAGUUGGUGGGGUAAAGGCCUACCAAGGCGACGAUCAGUAGCGGGUCUGAGAGGAUGAUCCGCCACACUGGGACUGAGACACGGCCCAGACUCCUACGGGAGGCAGCAGUGGGGAAUUUUGGACAAUGGGCGCAAGCCUGAUCCAGCCAUGCCGCGUGUCUGAAGAAGGCCUUCGGGUUGUAAAGGACUUUUGUCAGGGAAGAAAAGGGCGGGGUUAAUACCCCUGUCUGAUAACGGUACCUGAAGCAAUAA